Molecule: ribosomal RNA, 460 nt
Filed under: uncultured bacterium
Lineage: Bacteria
Description: partial 16S ribosomal RNA
Rfam family: Bacterial small subunit ribosomal RNA
Source: RNAcentral
CCUACGGGAGGCAGCAGUGAGGAAUAUUGGUCAAUGGACGAGAGUCUGAACCAGCCAAGUAGCGUGAAGGAUGACUGCCCUAUGGGUUGUAAACUUCUUUUAUAUGGGAAUAAAAUGUUCCACGUGUGGGAUUUUGUAUGUACCAUAUGACUAAGGCUCGGCUAACUCCGUGCCAGCAGCCGCGGUAAUACGGAGGAUCCGAGCGUUAUCCGGAUUUAUUGGGUUUAAAGGGUGCGUAGGUGGAUUGUUAAGUCAGUUGUGAAAGUUUGCGGCUCAACCGUAAAAUUGCAGUUGAAACUGGCAGUCUUGAGUACAGUAGAGGUGGGCGGAAUUCGUGGUGUAGCGGUGAAAUGCUUAGAUAUCACGAAGAACUCCGAUUGCGAAGGCAGUUCACUGGACUGCAACUGACACUGAGGCUCGAAAGUGUGGGUAUCAAACAGGAUUAGAUACCCUAGUAGUC